CAAAAGUGCAAAGAGAAGAUGAGAAUGAUUUGUAUGUGUAAUUUGAAAAAUCCAUUUUCUAAAAUAACAACACAAAUAUCUAAAGGUGCAAUACAAAUGUGUAACGUGAAAAAUCCGUUUACUCUAACACCUUAUGACACGUAAUAGAGCUCGACAUUGAUGGUUUGUUACUCUGUAACCAAGCUUAUAAAACGACCCCUUCAGCACAAAAGCAAAGUACACGCAAUGUAUACUAAAAACUAUCAUUUUUUGCACUCAUACUGAUUUGAAUGUCGAAAUAUUUACAUGUACCCCUAACUUAAAUUUUGACGGUUGUUAUUGUCGGACGCCAUCAUUAUGGUAAAAAAGGAUCAAGCAUAUUUUUCUUUUUUAAGUUAUAUGUUUCACUUUAGCUAUAUUAAAUUUGUUGUCAUACUCCUUUUUCUUCUCUUUCAUCUCCCACCGGCCACCAACCCUUUUAUCCCUCCAUGACAACCCUAAGACCUGGAGACUUCUUGUUUUUCCGCAUAAAGUACUAGUAGAAUUAAAAAGAUCCUUAUUUGGGUCGUUGAUUGAUUUAUGAGAUUUCUUUCUAAUCAAUGAGGCAAAAUAGCUUUAGAUAAUAUCCAAUCACCAUAAUUAUGAUUGUUAGUAGGCGCAAUAUGAUCCAUGCUAAAAAUCUGCUCAGAAGUUUCUACGAUACAUCCACAAAUUGAAUCAUUUUGGUAUAUUUAUUUAGGAAAUAAAAAAGAAGCAAAAUAGGGUGAUAAUUAUAUGCACAUGUAAAACUUAUUUAAUAUUAAAUUCUUUACAUAUAUGGAUUUGGCAUAAAAAAAAAAAAAAUUUAUAGGCUAGAAUGACUCACCAACAGUAAGCAUUGGUGAAACAUGAAUAUCAGCUAAAGCUUGAGAAGAGAGAAAAACAAAAAGAUUAAGACCAAGAAACAAAUAAGAUUUUGAGUAAACCAUGUCACUUCUUGAUGAUGAUAUUGCAAUGGUUGAUAAUAAAUAAUAAUGUAGUAAUUUGUAUGUGUGUGUGUGUAUAUAUAUAUAUAUGGAAAGAAGUUGCUCUGUUUAUAGGACCAAGAGUCAAGUUGAAGUUUAAAUUUAAAUUAAUGCAAAACAUGUGGCUAAAAAAUCUUCUGAAAGGAUGUGAAUAUUAAUUUAGAAAUAACAGUAUAAAAUGCAAUAUUUAUUUAUACACUCUUUUAUUUGAGUUCUUGAUUGGGUAAAGACCCAUUUUCCCUAUGGAAUCUUUUGCUUUAAAAUAACAAAUUAAGAUGAUUAGAGCUUAUUCGAGAUAUCAAUUAUCAUCAAACAAUAUUUCCAGUACUUGAUUAAAAUAAAGUUAUUUUCUUAUUUUAUUGAUAACUAAUGUGUAAUUUGUUAUUUUUCACAAAUGAUUGGGACUUUCGAGGGGAGAGCAAUGGAGGGUUUAUAAAAAAUGAAAGGAAGAAGUGGAAAGAAUGGAGAGCUAUAAGAGUGGAAGGCUUUGUGGGGUUUAGUUUUCUUCGUAAUACAAAAUUCCCCUAAUUUGGGGGAACUAAAAAUUUGUAUUGAAGGAGGGUUUUGGGGGAUUUGGAUAAGUUUUUCAAAUCUAAUCUAUGUUGUUAUAAUACUUUAAAGUUUAAAGUGAAAAAUACAUUAAUCAUAAGUAUUUAUUUACAAUUCUCUACAAAACUACUCACUCCAAAAAUUUAAAAGAUUUUUCUAUUUUUUCCUCUAAUCUCAUCCCUCAAAAACCAUUUUCUUCCCUUCCCCUUCAAACUUCCAAACAGAGUCUAAGAGCGGCAAAGCACAAGUCUUGGUAGUCACCUGCUUGUCUAUGUAUAAUUGUAUGGUGGGACGCCCACUUUAGCCGAACUUUGUGUCGUCUUGUCAGUCAUGCAUUUUAUUUGACUACGAAAUAAUUGUAUCAUGAUAUUUUAGAUAGCACAUAAUUAUAUUGUUUUUCAAUCAACCGUCCAACAUUUUUCUUUGUCCUCGGAUCAAUUUUUUAAAAUCAAGCAUUGUACAAUUCGAGUUAUGCAUUCGUAGUGUAUAGUUUAAGCUCUAAAUUUUUAAAAAAUUAAAUGCUCUUAUAAAAAAAAAUUACUUUAAAUAUUUUGGUUUAAUGAACUUACAGGCCUACUAAUCUUUUGUUUUCAAUCAAAAAAUAAUGUGAUUUCAAGUGGUGUAAAGGGCAACAUGAUGUUUUACUAUUACAUCAUAAAAUUCAAACAAAUACAUCAUAAAAUUCGUGUCUCUUCUUCAAAAUGGUUUUUGGUAAUUCGUCAAGACAUCCUUGUAUGCACCAUGGGUGGAGGGUGGAACUGUUCUUGUGUUAAGAUCAAUAACGGUGUGUGAGCAGGAUUAGGUGUAACACCCCGUUUUUCCCAACUUAAAAAUUUCAUAACAAUUAUCAGAGUAUUCAACAUAUAAACGGAAUGCUACACUUCUUAAAAUUCAUAAAUGGAAUAAAUAACAAUAUGUCCUUCAUAAUUCAAUCAACAAAAAUAUUAAAAACUUCGCAGCGGAUUUAAUUCAAAACAUAAUUAGUCUUGGCACGAAGGCCUCAUCAAAACAUCUCAUAAAAAUCCAAACUAAAUCAUAGUCAUGUAAAAUCAUAAGCAAUACGUAAGGAAUAGAAAAUAGCCACAAAAGUUCCCAUCUCGUUAUGUAUCAGAGCACCUAAAGACACAGUGAGAGAUAGCCACUCACGACAGCAAUCAACAGCUACUUAUUCUCGAUCACCUGCAAGUUACUCAUACGAAGAGCAACAUUUUCAAGCAGAAGAGGUGAGAUUUCACAAACAAUAAUAUUAAGCAUAUAAUUCAACAAUUAAAUUUAACAACAUAAACUUUAUUAAUUAAUAAUAAUAAUUCUUCAUAUAGUGCUUCAUUAAUAGUCUAAUCGACUUCUAAUCACCAUUAGCUCAUAACAAAUAUAAACAACAACAUAAUCAUUAUCUUAUAAUCAUAUAAACAACACUACAUAAAUAUUUCAUGGUUAGUCAUCAACAACAACUUCAACAAUUCGACGAUGACAACGUCAACCUGACAAUACAACUACAUGAGAGUACACCACCUCUUAUAAAACAACAACGUAAGAGUACAUCACCUCUUAUAAAACACCAGAACAUAAACAGUCACUAACAACAGCUUCAACUACGACUUCAACAACUUAGAUAAUAUCAACAACUUAAGACUCCAAUACUUUGGAACAUUUUGGAAAGACAACUUACAACUUUACAACUUAGACCAACAUCAACAACUUGAUCAAUAUUCAACAGCAACAGAAACAGUACAAGUCAUUCACAACAUAAUAAUAUUCAUGAAAAGCAUCAACAACAUAAACAUCAUACAUUUUCCACAUAAGGCAUAUAAAUAUUUCACAUAACCAACAUCAACAACAUAGGCAGCACGUAAACAUCUCAAGAUAUAACAACAUCAAAUGAUAAUCAACAUCAACUUAAACAUCUUAUAUAAUUCACAAAUGCAUAUACAAAUUUAUUACAUUACUAUCAUCAUUAAAUCAUAUUGUAACAGCUUCACUGAUCAUCAGUAAUAUUAUAUUCAACCUCAAUUCCUACCCGAAGGAUCAACUCAUAACAUCUCAUGCGACAAAGAUCGCAAAACCCUGAACAAGGUAUUCUGUCUUACAGGAGCUCGCGAGGCGAGGGACAUUACUCGCUAUGGCGAGUUCAGAAAUUUGGCUAUUCGCCUUGGCAAGUAAGCUGCUCGCCUUGGCGAACAAGAAAUGGUUGCUCUCGGGAAUUUGACUUUUUUUCACCUAAAAAUCCAUUUUUAAACUUUCCCAAGUUCAAUCUCAAUCUAAAAACUUGCCUAAUCAUUAUUAUACAUAUUCAGACACUCAAAAUCAUCUAAAUUUCGACUUAAGGAGCUAAAUCACAAAAUCACAAAAUCAUGUUUCCUCACUGGUCAAACUCGCUAUGGCGAGUGAUCUGCUCGCUAUGGCGAGCUGCAAGGUGCAACUCGCGAGGCGAAGAAAAGUUGCUCGCGAGGCGAGCAAUGGAGUUCAUCACUCGCUAUGGUGAGGAUCAUCCCUCGGGAGGCGAGCGAUGAAUGUUCGCUUGGGCAGAAUUGCAAUUUUGACGAAAAUUCACCUAAUCACAUGGUUCAAACCUUAAAACCGGUUCCUUUAAUCAUCCUAUGGAUUAUCUAAGGUCUGUACACAGUUUCUAAAUCAAUCUAACAAUUCUACAUCAAUUAAUCGUCAAUUCCUCACUUUAACCUAAUUCUCCAACUCUCUAAAAUUAAUUCUACACUUGUUAAAUUUAAUCAUCAGAAUUACAGACUCAAUAUAAUUGAAUGCUAGUCUCACCCUUACCUUAAGAAAAUCGAUCAGCAACACUCUCUUGGUUCUUCCCUCUUCUCGUUCUCCCUUUUCUCCAAAACUGGUUGUACGUGAAAAUAAUUCUAAACCUAGUUUUUCCUAUUUAUUUCCUCCCAUCUAUUUUAUCUUAUUUCCACACAACUCUCCUUAAUUCCAAAUCAGCCCCUUGAACUCCAAAUAUUCUAAAUUCCCACUUAUUCAUUAAAUAGUAAAAUAACUCAUUUAAUAAAAUAUAACACACCGCAUAAUCAACAUAAUUAUAUAAAAUCAUAUGUAAAAAGACUUUAAAUCAACCAAUAAUAAUUAAAUAAAAUUGGGGCGUUACAUUAAGCAUGUUCUAGUGAUGUGUUGGGGGCACGAUGCCACGUUGCAAUUUUCCUCUUCUUGUGUGUGCUCUUGGUUGUUGCUGGUUGGUUCAGAGCUUUGGUUUGACUUUGUUUUAGUUCCUUUGGUUUCUCUGUCUUUUUUGUAGUUUUUUCCAUUAGUUUUUCUCUUUUUUGUAUUGUUAUGUUGAUCUUUAAGCACUUCUUCUAUCGCAUAUCCUUAUUACCUUCUCUUAUGUAUAUAUUUGUUAUUCAAGAAGAGGGAAGAAAAAUAUAUUUUCAAAGAUUAGAUAUAUAUUUGAUUUCAAUGUAAACAAAGGGAUGAAAAGUGAAAGUUAUAUUUGAUUUCCUAAACUAUAUAACUUUGAAGUCAACAAAAAAAUUAAGAUGAAAAGUGAAGUGCAAAUGGAUGGUGAGACAAAAGUCACUCAGACUACUUAAACCAAGGGACAGAAAACAAGUAGAGAUCUAAUAAUCAGGAGAAGCAAUAAUUAAAGUAAACAAGCCAACCAACAAAAAACUAAUGACCCCAAAUAAGACAUCUUAUAAUCGAAAUAAAACAAUAAGUUUAACAAGUCCAUUUUAUAUGUUCAUGUGCUUUUUCAAAUUUUUUGUUGGACCCUUCACUUUAUCAUCACAUCUAGUGGCAUAUCCAUGACCCUGGAUCUAUGGGUUCAUACUUUUUCGUCCAACAAAAUUUUAAAUUUUUCUACGUAAAGACAUCACACAUUUUAUUCAUCCAAAAUAUCUCUAUUUACAUAAACAUAUAGUCGAUGUUGCUUCAACUUUUAGAAUUUUAUAUAAUUUUUGUUACUAUAUCUAGAAUAUUAUAUUAAAAUAUAUGAUCAUAUAGUUUUGUAAGGACUAAAACACUACACCAUUUGUUGUCUCUGGCAACACUUUUUUAGAGGACGUGCAAAAAUUGUCCCCUAAAAGUCCCUAAGGCAAUGUUUUAUGAAAAAAGAAAAAAGAGAGCCCACUCAAUUAGAAAUGUUUUUUGAAACUCGAAAAGGAAGUAGAGGAAAGCAAUUGGAUGAAGAAACUGGAAAAGUAUUUGUAUGUAAAAAAUUACAGUUACGUUAAAUUGUGUUUACUUAAUAUUGUUGGCAAACAUUGUUUAUAAUAUUAGUUAAUGUUUUCUUGAAUUUUUUUUUUUGCUCCCAACUUCAAGAAAUGGAUGAAAAGAAAGGAAGUGAUACUGAAGCUUUUAAAGCUGUUAUGGGAAAGGAGCGUCCUGGCAGGUUACGUUGUUAUGGGAGAAAAAUAACUAAAACUUCCUUAAAGCGAAAGGUUGAGAUUAAUGCUUUGAAUCAAGCACAUAGUCAAGAGGUAUCUACUUUAAGGCAUGAAUUUCAAGAUCAGAUUGAUAGAUUGCAAAAUGUGUUUAAGACCGUCAUACAACAAUGCAAUCCUCAAUUAAAUAUGGACUCAAUAGAACAUUUGCUAGGAUUAUCUCAUGGAGAUGCUAACAGCUCCCCAAAGGAUAGUAGAGCACAAAUGCAUUCCUCUACUUCCAUUCAUACUCCAUGUCCUGAAAAGGUAACCAUAUAUAUAAAUAUUAUUGAUUAUGUUAUUGUAAUUGAGUUAAACUAGUUAUAUUUUGCUUGUUAAUAUAUGCAAAAAGUUGUUAGUAAUGAUAUCACUUGGAAUGUAGGCAAGUGUCUGAAAUUGUUAACUUGCGUAUGUUGGGUCUAAAUUAGAGCUGUGCGAACUUAUGAUUAUGUUGUUUGGCUGAAUUGCUUAAAAUGCAUGUCCAAAGUCGGAUUUUGAUUGUGUUGCAGAAUUUUAUGCAUAAAUUUUGUUUAUGCAAUUUGUGGUGUUUGUGCAAACUUGUGAUUUAUUUUUCUGCAUUUUGUGUUUGUUUCUCUGUUGCAUAACAUGGCAUAAGUUGCAGAAACUUAAAAAUGAGCUUGUAAUGAUAGAAUAAGGAAGGGAAAUGUGUAAAAAAGGUUUCCUAUUUGCGGCUAUGUUGACUGUGUUUUACUUGUUGUUUUGGUUUUUAUUUGUGCGAGGUACAACACUUGUUGAUGUCUUUGAUUGGCCUUUGAACCAACAAUAUCUAUGGUUGAUGUAUUUUGUUCUUAUGCAGCAAGCUAUCAAUGAAGAUGUUGUACAGGAUGACAUAGUUGAGGAGGAAGACGUAGAUGAUGAAUUUCUUGAGGACGAAUUUCUUGAGGACAACUUAAGUGAUGAAUUUCAAGAGGAUGAUAUAGAUAAUGAAUUUCAAGAGGAUGACCUAGAUGAUGAAUUUCAAGAGGAUGACCUAGAUGAUAAAAUUCAAGAGAAUGACAUCGGUGAUGAAUUUGAAGUGGACGAUUUGGCUGAUGAAUUACAAGAUAAACUUGAAUGAUUGAGUUGGAUGGUGUUUUAUUUUGGAUUGUAGUUAAGCCACAUUUUGGAUUGUAGUUAAACCACUAAACUUGUCCGAACUAUAGUUUUGUUAUUUUGUUAGGCUUAUACUUCGAAGCAUUAAACUUAUCAAGUAAUGUUUGACAUUUUGAUUACUAUUAUGUCUUGAAUUAAUGUUUGAACUAUGUUAUUAUAUUACAUCUUUUGUGGUUGUAUUGUUAAAUUCGAUCUUGUUUGAGUUAUAAUUGACAAUUCUAAUAUUGUCUUUAAGCUAUAGUUACAUUUCUAAAAUAAUUGAAAAAUUCUAAAAUUUUACAAGGACACUCUAAAAAUGUUGCUUGUAAGUUAUGGGGACGUUUUUAUAAUUUCUUAAAAGAUUCAAAUUUUAGGGGACGAUUAUUAAUUGAAGCAACCUAUGGGAACAUUUAAAAACGUCCCCUCAGAAUCCCCAAAAAAUUGUCUCAUAUUCCUAAGGUUUAGGCGACGUUUUCAAAAACUGUGCCCAAAGAACAUGAAAAAACGUCCCCAUAGACUAUAGGCGACGCUCGUAUAGGAGACGCCGAGAAAACGUCCCCUAUACCUUUAGGGGACGUUUUUCUUAGUUCUGGCAACAUUUUUCGAUUGUUAGGCUUAAUUGCACUUUUGGACCCCUAUCUUUCCAAAAGUUGUGGUUAUGGCCCCCUAACUAAUUUAAAUACAAAACAACCCCCUAUAUUUUGAUUCUUUGGCAGUUUUGGACCCCCAGUCCAUUAGUGAGGUGCCACGUGUAUUAUUUAGGGGGUCACGUGGCACCUCACUAAUGGAUUGGGGGUCCAAAACUGCAAAAAAAAAAUCAAAACAUAGGGGCAUGUUUUGUAUUUAAAUUAGUUAGGGGGCCAUAACCGCAACUUUUGAAAAGAUAGAGGUCUAAAAGUGCAAUUAAGCCUUGUUGUUAAAAAGGAUAAAUGGUGUAGUGAAAGUUAUGUAAUCCAUUAUAAUUUCUAGCAGUUUGAAAUUGAAAGAGUAAUUUUAUCCAUAAUAGAUAGAAAACUAUCAUGGCUAUAAUCUCCAAAUAGAAAGGGAAAAAAAUAAAAGAAGGGGAAAGAGAAAAAUGAAAGAGUUACAAAAAAGCAUAUAUGAAAAAUGUCUCAAAAGAAAGAAAAAAAAAACAAAUAUGAAGCUAUAUAAAAUUUCCGUCAUGUCAUGUUUUCCAAAUGACAACAACAUCGCUAAACAGUAGAACUUAAUAUGCACCAUCAUAAGGUCAUGUCAUGUUUUCGAUCCUUGGUUCUGCUUUUUGGAAUUUUCAUUAGAAAGAAAAACCAAACUUAAAACUAAGUUGUAAGGAUUUUGGGGGUGUAAGUCCAAAAUCUAUAACCUUAAUAUUGGGGUCAAAAUGUAAAAAAAUAAAAAAUAAGAUUAUUGGUGCAAAUUUUCAAAACCCAGGGUGUGCAUGUACUUAUGAAGUCCAGAUACUCCAAAUUGGAGACAUACAUGUGUCGAAUGCGAAUGUAUAUGAUUAAAUUUAAGAUAUGAAUCGCUAUAAUUGUAUUUCGAUUAACCAAAUAAAAAUUAUAUUUUUGGUGGAUAAAAGUACCAAGAGAGAAAGGAUAUUCAAUCAAUCAACAUUAAAUAAACUUUGUUUAUAGUUUUUUUAUUGAUGUAUUUGUUGAUAUCCAAACUUAUGAAUGAAAAUAAAAUAUAAUUUUUACGUAGACUUUACAACUUUUAUUUUGAUCAUGUAUUAUUUUUCGUAAAUCGUGACUUUUAUGAUUAUAUAGUAUUGAAGAGUAAUUAAUUCUUAUUUUUUUAUCAAAUAUUUUGCAUGUAUUUAAUUUUUAGUAUAAAUAUUUUGUUAACGUAUCUUAGUUGUAUCGUAUCCUGAAUUUUAAAAAUAUCAUGCAUCCGCGUACCCGUAUUGUAUCGCACUCGUACAACGUAUUCGGGCUUCAUAGAUAAGUGCAAACCUUCACUCCACAGUGAAUCUGCCAAGUCUGACAAACUCCUUAAAGCUUAGAUGUCCAUCACUAUCAGAAUCAGCCUCACGAACAAAGUCGCUCACUUCUUCAUUGGUCGCCUUAAUGCCUUGAUUUGUCAAGUAAUAAUGCAACUCAGAUGCAGUGACAAAACCAUUAUGAUCCGUGUUAGGCUUAGAGAAAGCUAUGAGAAGCUCUUCUUUGGUGAAGUCAAUGGUACCAUUUCCGUCAGUGGCAGACUUAUUCCUCGCUACCAUCAAGCCGAAAUCAGUUGGGUUUAGGCCAGUAGACCGUAUUAGAGUGUCAAGUUCUUCAUUAUCAAUAGAAACAUCUCCAUCCUUAUCGAUGAGGCUGAAAUACGCCUUUAUCUUUGAGAUUUGCUUGUCAUUGAGUUGAUCGGCCAUUGAAGGAAGAUUGGGUUCUGCAAAAGUACAAAGAGAAGAUGAUAAUGAUUUGUGUGUGUAAUGUGAAAAAUCCAUUUCCUAAAAUAACUACACAAAUAUCUAAAUGGUGCAAUACAAAUGUGUGUAAAGUGAAAAAUCCAUUUGCUCCUUAACACCUCAUGACAUGUAACAGUUAGAGCUCGACAUUCAUGGUUUGUUACUCUGUAACCAAGUAUAUAAAAAGCCCCUUUAGCACAGAACAAAAGUACACACAAUAUAAACUAAAAACUCUCAUUUUUUGCACUUAUACUUACUUGAAUGUCUAAAUAUUUACAUGUACCCCCUAACUUACAUUUCGACGGUCGUUAUUGUCAGACGCCAUCAUUAUGGUCAAAAAAGAUCAUGCAUAAUUUCCUUUUUUGAGUUAUAUGUUUCACUUUAGCUAUAUUAAAUUUGUUGUCCUACUCCUUUCUCUUCUCUGACAUCUCCCACCGGCCACCAACCCUUCUACCCCUCCAUGACAAUCCGAAGACCUUGAGACUUCUUGUUUCUAUCACUUAAAGUGCUGCUAGAAUUAAAAAGAUCCUUAUGUGGGUCGUUGAUUGAUUUAUGAAAUUUCUUUCUAAUCAAUGAGGCAAAAUAGUUUUAGCUAAUCUCCAAUCACCAGAAUUAUGAUUGUUAGUAGGCACAAUAUGUCCCAUGCCCAAAAUUUACAUAUAAGUUUCUACGAUACAUUCACAAAUUAAAUCAUUUAGGUAUAUUUGUUUUUUAGGAAACAAAAAAGAAGCAUAAUAGUGUGAUAAUUAUAUGCACGUGAAAAACAAUUUUUUUUUUUUUUUUUUUAUAAAAUGCACGUGAAAAACUUGUUUAACUUGUUCAAAGAUUAAUAUUAAAUUCUUUACAUAUAUGAAUUGGACAUAUAAAAAAACUUAUAGGCUAGAAUGACUCACCGACAGUAAGCGUCGGUGGAACAUGAAUAUCAGCUAAAACUUGUGAAGAGAGAAAAACAAAAAGAUUAAUACUAAGAAACAAAUAUGAUUUUGAGUAAGCCAUGUCACGUCUUGGUGAUGAUAUUGCAAUGGUUGAUAAUAAAUAAUAAUGUAGUAAUUCGUUUGUGUGUGUAUAUAUGGAAAGAAGUUGCUCUGUUUAUAGGGCCAAGAGUCAUGUUGAAGUUUAAAUUUAAAUUAAUGCAAAACUUGUGGCUAAAAAACCUUAUGAAAGGAUAUGAAUAUUAAUUUAGAAAUAACAGUUUUUUUUUUUUUUAUCAAAACACUAAAAUAUAAAAGACAGGAGAUGUCUGAACUAAUACAACAGAAUGACAAAGGAGAACCUAUGAAACGAAAACUAGAAAGCUUAUGACCAUUAUUGACCAUACCAACUGCUACAAGACUACUAUCCCAAAGUUUGUUUAAAAUGAUUGAUAUUUCUAGUUAUUUUAUUGCAACAACAAAAAACACAUUAUUCUAAGGCUGCCAAGUCAAUUUUGGAGGUGCCCUUUUGAGCACGGGUCCUUAUUUCAGCUGAGUUAAAUCAAGCAGACUUCACUUUUCUCACAGGCUUCUUCUAAUUUUUCUCUGCCUUAAUGCUCUCAUAUAGGCUUGGAUAGUGCUGCUCAAAGUAUGAUACAAUGGGUUCAACAUGGUCCUCUUCCACUGUGACGGCAUAGCCGUAGGAGUGAGCACCAUAGUGUUAGCCCACUUUUGAAAAACCUUUGGAUCCACAUUCUUGUUAGAAGACAUCAAUGCAUCUGAGAUGUGAUCAUAAUCCUCUUCUACCUCAUCCCCCAAAAUUUGGAAAGAAUCUGCACACUCUUUAGGGUUGUAGUGUAACGCCCUAUUUUAUUAUUUAUUUAUUUUAUUAAGUUUAGAGUCUUUUUUUAUAAUUUAAUCAAUUUAUUUUGAUAAGUGAUAUUUUUGUUGUGUAUGAUAUUUAUUAGUAGCCCCUAUUUUAUUAUUUAGUGGAGAAAUAUAAUUUAAAUAGAUUAAUGAGGCAUAAGGACAUAAUUGGAAUAAGGGAGAAUGUGUUAGGAGAGAUUAAGUGAGAAACAAACACAGUUAGUGAUUAUAAAUAUAUGAGACCAUUAGAGAAUUAGGGUUACAACAGAAUAGAGAGUCAGAAUACAGAAUACGUAGAAACUGCUUUUGGGAGAAAAAGGGAGAAAGUGAGAAGUUAGAUAAGAGAAGAGGAGAAAACUUGUAAAGUCCAAAUUCAAUCUAAGGUAAGGGUGGGACUAACCUUCUUUAAUCAUAAGUAUAUAGUUCUGAAAAAGGGUUUAAGCUUGUAGUUGUUAAUAGUUUUGAUGUUAUAGAAAUUAGGUUUUGAUUUGGAAUUGAUUGUUAAAAAAGUAGAUAAUUCAAUAAAUUAGUGUACAAAUUCAUGUUUUGGUCCAAGUUUUAUAUGGUUUUGAGUGCCUUUUCAUGUUUAGAAAUGUUUAGACGAGUUUCGGGAUCAAAUUUGGGCAUAGGGAAGUUAAAAAUGGGAUUUUUUGGUGAAAAAUGUCAAGUUCCCGAGAGAUAUCAGAUUGAGCUCGCCAUGGCGGAUGACCUAUUCGCCUGGCGAAAUGUUCAGUGACAGACUGCCUUGUUUCACGUUCUUGCGUCUGUUUCACACGUUUCUGUUUUGAGUUGGUCUUCGGUGUAAACAUGAAAGUUGUUGAUAAUUGUGUUAUCUUUCCAGUAUUCUUGAUUUGAUGUGAAUAUCUUUGUUGGAUGAUUUAAUAUUUAUUAUAUGUAUAUGUUGAUGAAUUUGAUGUUAUAUGAUGUUGUUCAUGAUUGAUGAAUUAUUAUAUGAAUGUAUAAGUUGAUGAAUAUGAUGUCAUUCAAGAUUGAUGAACUAUUAUAUGAAUGUAUAUGUUGAUGAAUAUGAUUUUAUAUGAUGUUGUUCAUGAUUGGUGAAUUAUUAUAUGAAUGUAUAUGUUGAUGAAUAUGAUGUUAUAUGAUGUUGUUCAUGAUUGCUAAAUUAUGAAGUCAUAAUGCGAAGUCGUUGUUGUUGUUGUUGUUGUUGCAUUGGUAGUGUCAAUGCAUAAUCAUUUUAAACGAAGAGGGCUUGAUGCUCUGUUAAUUUUAAGCGAAGAGGGCUUGAUGCUCUGUUAUUUAAUCGAAGGGAACUUGAUGCUCUGUUGUAGGGAGCUUGAUGCUCUGAUGGUACGACAUGCAUAUUAGCAUCUCUUGAGUUGUUAUUGUUGCAUUGUUGAGUUGUUGUUGUUGCAUUGCGGAGUUGUUGUUGUUGUUGUCACAUUGUUGUUGUUGUUAUUAUUGCAUUGUUAAAAUGAAGAUAAUUGAUGAAUUGUUGAUUGGAAUUAUGUGAAGCAUUGUUGAUGAUGAUUUGCUGUUGUUUUGUGUUGAUAAAUUCUUUUACAUUAUUGUUUAUUAGUGUUGUUAAUGAUGAAUUGAGGUUGUUAUGUGUUGUUAAAUUCUUUUAUAGAAUUAUAUGCUUAUUAUUAUUGAAUUUGAAAUUUCACUCAUUCUGUUUGAAUGUUGCCUCUACGUGGGUAAUGUGCAGAUAACCAGGAGUAAUCGCUGAUGUGAGUUGAUUCUCGUGUCGUCCUAGGAGUCGCUCUGAUACGUACGGGAUGGGGAUUAGCUUUAUUUAUUUUCCAUUAUUAUGUAUUCUUUUUAUGAAUUUAUUGUUGAACAUUUUUUAGAUGAAAUUAAUUAUAUUGAUGAUGUUGAUGUUAGUUUGUUUUUAAUUCAAGUUUAGUUUUAGUGAUAAUCACAAUCAGUGGUUAAUCACAGUUUGUUUUAGUUUGUUAUGAAGUUUGUUACAAGUUUGUUAGAGGUUAGCAGAUAAGAUCUAGAGUUUGUUACAUUGCUUGUGCUUCAAGCAACUUAGCUAGAUAUUGUAUAUAAGCUACCUCCUUUGUACAUUUUUGUAUAUAGAAUCAAUAAAGAUCAUUUACAAUUUCAUCAUAACUUUCUUCUCUCUCAAUUCUCUCUCUAAUUCACAUAAAACCUUAGAAUCAGAAACUGCUUCUGAACUGCUUCUGAACAGUGCUUCUGAACAGAGCUUCUGAACAAGCUUCCGCUUCUGGUUUUUCUGCGCUAUCAAAUUGGCAUCAAGAGCCUUUGGUUUCGUUCUAAGGGGUAAUCAAGAUCUUCAAUCACGCAAUUUAUAGAAAGAAACGCUGAAGGAAACACCAUGAAUGGUAGCAGCAGUUUCAACACACAUCUUCCAAUUCUUGAAGCACGUAAUUGGGAAAGAUGGAGUGCAGCGAUGAAGAAUCUGUUUGGAGCACAAGAUUUGCUUGAAAUUGUGCAGAAUGGUGUAGAUGAAUUAGCUGCGAAUGCCACUGAAGUGCAAAGGAACGCACACAAGGAAUUGAAGAAGAAAGAUUGCAAGGCUCUGUUCUUGAUUCAACAAAGUCUUGAUGAAGGAAACUUUGAAAGAAUCUCAAAAUCACUGAGUUCAAAGGAAGCAUGGGACAUUCUUUCAAAGUAUCAUGAAGGUGAUGAUAAAGUGAAGUUGAUUAAGCUUCAAUCUCUGAGAAGGAAAUUUGAGCUGAUGCAAAUGGAAGAUGAUCAGAAGAUUUCUAAGUACAUCUCUAAACUCAUCAAUCUUGUGAAUCAGAUGAAGGCUUGUAGUGAAGCUAUCACUGAUCAACAGAUAGUUGAAAAGAUUAUGAGGAUCCUAUCUUCAAGGUUUGAUUUCAUUGUGGUGGCAAUUCAGGAAUCAAAAGAUGUUAAGACAUUGAAGAUUGAGGAGCUACAGAGUUCAUUAGAAGCUCAUGAAUUGAUGGUUUCAGAAAGAAGCAAUGAAAGAUCAAUUCAACAAGCCCUGCAAGUUCAAACUAUCAAGAAGGAUGAUUAUGAUAAGAAGAACUUCAAGAAAGGGAAACUCUAAGGGAGGAAACUGGUCUAAAGGCAAGAACAAUGGAUCUGAUAAAGGUGAAUCUUCAAAGGAAGGAAAUUCUAAUCAAAAGAAGAAAGUUGAUAAGAAGAAGAUUCAGUGUUUCAAAUGUGAGAAAUUUGGACACUAUGCCUCUGAAUGUUGGUCUGGUAAAGGAAAGCAAUCAAAAAAUGAUGAAGAGGAAGCCAAAAUUGCACAAGAUGAUUUAGAUUCUGAAUCAUUAUUCAUGAUGGUUACAACAACUAGUAAUGAGAGCUGCAAUUCAGAAAGUUGGUUCUUAGAUACUGGUUGUUCUAAUCACAUGACAGGAAACAAGACAUGGUUAAGAGAAGUGGAUCCUGGAAGAAAUACAAAGGUGAAACUUGCAGAUCAUAGAGUCUUAAUUGCAGAAGGAAUGGGGAAUAUUGCUAUUGAAGGAAAGAAUGGGAAAGUGGCAAUAAUUGAAGAAGUUCUCUAUGUUCCUGGAAUGCAGUGCAAUUUGCUGAGUGUAGGUCAGUUCAUUCAGAAAGGAUACUCAGUUACUAUGAAGGACAACACCUUUAAGUUGUUUGAUAAUCAUCAAAGGUUAGUUUUGAAAACUCCUCUUGCAAAGAAUAGAACUUUUCAGACCAAUAUGAAAGCUGUAGAAUUGAACUGUUUAUCUGCUAUGGUAAAAGAUGAAGAUAGCUGGUUAUGGCACUAUAGAUUUGGUCAUCUCAAUUUUAGAGGUCUUAAUCAAUUGGUUGAUAAAGAAAUGAUUCUGGGAGUGCCUAAAACCAGGAAUUUGAAAACCCACUUCACAUCUACACCAUACUCAGAAUCUGUAUGGAUUGAAACAGGCACCAAGAGCUUGGAACAAGAGAAUUGACAGAUUUCUUGUACAGCAAGAAUUUGUCAAAUGCAAGUCUGAGUAUGGUGUAUAUGUGAAGAAAGGAAGUGAAGGUAAUCAACUACUCAUCUGCCUUUAUGUUGAUGAUCUGAUAGUGACUGGUAGUGAUAUGAAUGAGAUAGAAGCAUUCAAAUCACAAAUGAUGAGUGAGUUUGAAAUGUCAGAUUUAGGAAAAUUGACAUACUUUCUAGGCAUGGAAUUUACUGAAGUUGCAGAGGGAUUGAUAAUGCACCAAAAGAAGUAUGCAUCUGAUAUAUUGAAGAGGUUCAAUAUGAUGAGCUGCAAUCCAUCAUCAUCACCAGCUGAGACAAAUGUAAAACUGGUAAUGAAUGAAGAUGAAGAACCUGUGAAUCCUACAUUGUUCAAGCAAAUUGUUGGUUCACUGAGGUAUCUAUGCAAUAGUAGGCCUGAUAUUGCAUAUGCAGUUGGCAUAAUCAGUAGAUUCAUGAGUGAACCAAGAGUCUCUCACCUGCUAGCAGCCAAAAGAGUGAUGAGAUACAUCAAAGGAACACUGCAGUAUGGUAUUCUAUUUCCUAAAUGUUUGAAUGAUAGUUCUAUGGAACUGAUGGCAUAUUCUGAUGCUGAUUGGUGUGGAGACAGACAAGAUAGAAAGAGUACUUCAGGGUACCUAUUCAAGUUUAUGAAUGCUCCAAUUUCAUGGUGUGCUAAGAAGCAACCAGUUGUAGCAUUGUCAACCUGUGAAUCUGAAUAUAUUGCAGGGUGUAUGGCAGCAUGUUAGGCAAUAUGGCUUGAAAAUAUACUCAAAGAGAUGGAGAUAGAGGUUAGCAGACCUAUAGAAUUGCUCAUAGACAACAAAUCUGCUAUAAGCUUAGCAAGAAAUCCAGUUCUGCAUGGAAGAAGCAAGCAUAUAGAAGCAAAGUUUCAUUUUCUAAGGGAGCAAGUGAACAAGGGAGCACUGCAGAUUGUUCAUUGCUCUACUGAGCUGCAGCUUGCAGACAUAUUCACUAAGGCAUUGAAGGUUGACAGAUUCAACAAGCUCAGAAGCUUUAUUGGAAUGAAGGAAGUGGAAACUUGAAUUAAGGGAGGAUGUUAGUUUGUUUUUAAUUCAAGUUUAGUUUUAGUGAUAAUCACAAUCAGUGGUUAAUCACAGUUUGUUUUAGUUUGUUAUGAAGUUUGUUACAAGUUUGUUAGAGGUUAGCAGAUAAGAUCUAGAGUUUGUUACAUUGCUUGUGCUUCAAGCAACUUAGCUAGAUAUUGUAUAUAAGCUACCUCCUUUGUACAUUUUUGUAUAUAGAAUCAAUAAAGAUCAUUUACAAUUUCAUCAUAACUUUCUUCUCUCUCAAUUCUCUCUCUAAUUCACAUAAAACCUUAGAAUCAGAAACUGCUUCUGAACUGCUUCUGAACAGUGCUUCUGAACAGAGCUUCUGAACAAGCUUCCGCUUCUGGUUUUUCUGCGCUAUCAGUUGAGGCCUUUAGUGCCAAUUUUGUUGAAAGAAUAAGUAUUUUCCGUUGCGACGUUGUUGAAAAUUAUUGGAAGCAGAUGAUUUUAAUAAAGAGUGGAUUUUAACUCUAUUUGUGUUAAAUAUUAUUUUGAAGAAAGAAAUGUGAUAUUCUGUUUGUGAUGAACUCUGAUCUAUUUUAUAUUAUUUAUAUGUUGGGAAAAUGGGGUGUUACAUGUAGCAGAGAGGGGUUUGGAAGCAUGAAUCAGGGUUUGGCUUGAACGGAGUUUGUCACUUGUCAAACUAGCAAACAUGGUGGUUUGCAGGUUGUGUCAUAGGAGUGAUAUAAGGGUCCCUAGAUUUGUCUCAUGAAACAUAAGUGAUCUUGGGGAAUGACCGCCUCCCAGGUAUGCCACCCUAACCAAGUGAAGUUGAAGCUGAAUUGGGGAAUGACAUCAUCCCAAUGUCAGAAGACUUCGUAAGAUCUGAGGUAUCAUGAGACACAAGUUUGAUGGGGAUUAUUUCCUUAGAAACAAUGUCCUUUAACCUAGUGUUAUGAAUCAAAGAAACUUCUUCACCAUAAUGAGCAUUGAGUGGCUCAAUAUCAGCUAAAAGCUUGUUAAAAGAGCCAUCAAUAUCUUUCAUAUCAACCAAAGCCUCUCCUUGCACCCUGUCAGGUUCAGAAUUCAAAAUGGUGAAAUAAUUGUGCAGGACAAGAUCUUGGUCUUCCAAGCAAUCCUGUCCUCUAAACUAAAGUUCGCAUGGUCAUAUCGAUUGUUGUCCAUAACAUUAAAAGAAACAUCACUAGCUAGGAAAAGAGGUAUGGUUUGAACUAUCAGCUGCAACAAUGAUGGAAAAAGGUGCAUGCGGAACAGUUUCAGCUGGAUCUUCACAGGUAUUUAUUUGUAAUGUAGUCUCUAAAUUUGCUAUCUAAGAUCUAUUUGGUGCAUCUGAGCAUGAAACCUACAGAUUAUCCCCCAAUACUUUCUUAUUUAAGCUUACCAAAGGUUGAGUCUGAGAGUUCCUGGGAAGCAAAAUAUUACCUGACCAGGUAUUAGGUUAUGUUUUGUUAGUAGCCUGCGAGUGAGUGUGUUUAUUUAGCAGAUGAGCUUCAGGAACGUUAUUAACAAUCUACUUAUGAUGAACCUGCUUGGCGGCGUGAGGCUUCUUCCAUCCCAAGUCUAAGCCUUCAGGCACAUGAGCUGCUCCAAUCUUCUUACAUUGUUGAAUAGUGUGGCCAAUGAACUUGCAAUGUGAGCAAAAAGGAGGUUUCCUUUCAUACUGCACAGACACAUAAAACGCAUAACCCUCCCUUUCCACUAUAACCGAGUCAAAAAGUUGUCUUGACAUGUCAACAUCCACAAGCACCCUAGUGUAGAGACCAAAUAACCUAGCUCUAUUGGCAUCAUUAAUGAUCAGAGGGGUGCCAAUACCAGAAGCAAUCUCAAAUAAAGUCUUCUCCCUCCAAUAUAUAUAUAUUUGUUAUUCAAAAGAGGGAAGAAAGUUAUCUUUUCAAAGACUAAAUAUAUAUUUGAUUUCGAUGUAAACAAAGGGAUGAAAAAUAAAAGUUAUAUUUGAUUUUCUAAACUAUAUAACUUUUAAGUAAACAAAAAAAUAAAAUGGAAAGUGAAGUACAAAUGGAUGGUUAGACAAAAGUCACUCAGACUACUUAAACAAAGGGACAAAGCAAACAAGUAUAGAACUAAUGAUUAGUAGUAGCAAUAAUUAAAGCAAACAAGCCAACCAACAAAAAACUAAUGACCCCAAAUAAAGGUGACAUUUAACAUGGGAAAGGGUAAAACUUUUCGACCAUAGGACAGUUGAUUUUAACCAUGUGAUUAAAUAAUGAGCACAAUCUUAUCAUGCUCUCUCAAUAGUUAAAUUUUUCCUCACUAUCUUCUCCAACCAUUCUCUCUCCUCAAUGUCUCUCUCACAAACCCUUUAGCCAUUAAAUAGCCAAAAAUCCUAAUCCAGAUGACAAUGGAAGAUGCAUUCUGCUUUCAAAAAACAAAUCUAAAACUAAAACAGAACUGAACGAAAAUUAAACAUUCAAUCCUAGAUUAAUUUUCUUUUGAAAACCAUUAAAUUUUAGAUUAAGUCAUAUAAAUAAUAACUUGGUUUUGAUUCUUUUUACUUUCUUUUCUAUUAAUUCAUUCAUCCACUAAAACACAGAGACAUUGUCUCAGAUUAGCAAGAAUCUUGAAUGGAUUGUGUGUACGUUGGCAGGGACAGUAGCAUUUAUCACAUGAAAUUGUCUUUACGAUUUGUUUGAAUUUACGAGUGAAGAAGUUUUAAAAUUGGUUUUGAUACCCUUUGAUUCCUUCAGUGAGAUUAAUAGAGAUUUUCUUGAAGUUUUUCUCUUUAAUUCCAACCAGAAGUUGUGACCGGAAACUCAUCCACGGUGGCGUGCAGUGGCUCGCCGGUGUAGGAAGAAAGGCAUACAUCAAAUUGGGACGGGGUUUAAGUUUUAACUCAAAUUGAAGGUUGAAAAACAUACUUCUAGAAGAAAAAACAUACUUCGUCCUAAACAUGUUUAAGUUUUAAUUCUUCUGGAAAAAAAACGAUAUUGGGAUGGCAGGUUUGAUGUUGGUGGUGGUCAGUGGCGGAGCCAGGAAUAUUGUAAAGCCCAGACAAAAAAAAAAAUUGCAACACAUUUAUAGGGCGUACAUAAGAAAUUGCAAGCAAAUAAUAAAAAAUGUAAAGAAAUUGCCCAAUUUAUAGGGUUUUAUAUAAGAAAUUCAUAGGGAUUUACACAAGAAAUUGCAAAAAAUUUGGCCCGGAGCCCGGCCGAGUGCCCGGGGUCGCCGGGCCUUAGAACCGCCCCUGGUGGUGGUGGGUUAGUGAGGCAUGAAGAAGAAAGAAUAGCGUUGGAAGAUGGUGUAGAAGAAUAAUAUGGUGCUGAGAGACUAUGAUAAAUGUGUGUACUUUAUUUGAUCAAAUGGUUAAUAUUAAUUUUUCUAUGGUGGGAAAGUUUUACCCUUUUCCAUGUUAAAUGCCACCCCAAAUAAAACAUCUAAUAAUAGAAAUAGAACAAUAAUUCUCAUCAAAACUCGUUUAACAUGUCCAUUUUAUAUGUUCAUGUGCUUUUUCAAAUUUUUUGCUGGUCCCUUCACUUUAUCGUCACAUCCAGUGGUGUAUCCAUGACCCUAGUUCAAAGGGUGCAUACUUUUUCGUCCAACAAAUUUAAUACCCAUUUUGGAGUAUCCAUUUAUGAAUUAUACCCAAGUGCCUAUGAAAGUCCAGAUACUCCAAAAUGGAGAUGUACCUGGAUUGGAUGUGGAUGUAUAUGAUUCAAUCAAUCAACAUUAAAUAAAAUUUGUUUAGAGUUCUUUUAUUGAUGCAUUUGUUGAUAUCCUAACAUAUGAAUGAAAAUAGAAUAUGAUUUAUAGAUCACUUCACAAUUUUUAUUUUGAUCAUAUGUAUUAUUUUCUGUAAAUCGUGACUUUUAUGAUUAUAUAGUAUUGAAGAGUAAUUAAUGCUUUUUUUUCAAAUAUUUUACAUGCAUAUAAAUUUUACUAUAAAUAUUUUGUUAUCGUAUCUUAGCCAUAUCAUAUCCUAAAUUUUAAAAUUUUCGUGUAUCCGCGUACCCGUAUCGUAUCGUACCCGUACUCGUACUAUGUUUAUUUGCACACCUUCAGACCACAAUGGAUCCACCCAUGGUCACAGCUUUGACAAACUCCUCAAAGUUUAUUUGUCCAUCACCAUCAACAUCAGCCUCACGAACAUACUCGUCCACUUCUUCCUUGGUCACCUUGGUGCCGUGAUUUGUCAAGUAAUAAUGCAACUCAGAUGCAGAGACAAAACCAUUAUGAUCCUUGUCAGGCUUAGGGAAAGAUAUGAUAAAAUCUUCUUCGGUGAAAUCAAUGGUACCAUUUCCGUCAGCGUCAAACUUAUUCAUUGCUACCAUCAGGCCGAAAAACGUUGGGUUUAGGCCAAGCGACCGUAUUAGAGUCUGAAGUUCAUCAUUAUCAAUAGAAAAAUCUUGAUCCUUAUCGAGAAGUCUGAAAUACGCCUUUAUCUUUGAGAUUUGCUUGUCAUUGAGUUGAUCGGUCAUUGAAGGAAGAUUGGGUUCUGCAAAAGUACAAAGAGAAGAUGAGAAUGAUUUGUAUGUGUAAUGUGAAAAAUCCAUUUCCUAAAAUAACUACCCAAAUAUCUAAAUGGUGCAAUACAAAUGUGUGUAAAAAUCCGUUUACUCUAUAACACCUCAUGACACGUAAUAGAGCUCGACAUUGAUGGUUCGUUAAUCUGUAACCAAGCUUAUAAAAGGACCCCUUCAGCACAAAAAUAAAGUACACACAAUGUAUACUAAAAACUAUCAUUUUUUGCACUCAUACUGAUUUGAAUGUAUAAAUAUUUUCAUGUAACCUUAACUUAGACUUCGACGGUUGUUAAUGUCGUCUCCUUUCUCUUCUCUUCCAUCUCCCACCGGCCACCAACCCUUUUAUUCCUCCAUGAUAAUCCCAAGAUCUGGAGACUUCUUGUUUUAUCGCAUAAAGUACUAGUAGAAUUAAAAAGAUCCUUAUUUGGGUCGUUGAUUGAUUUAUGAGAUUUCUUUCUAAUCAAUGAGGCAAAAUAGCUUUAGCUAAUCUCCAAUCACCAUAAUUAUGAUUGUUAGUAGGCUCAAUAUGAUCCAUGCUGAAAAUUUACUCAGAAGUUUCUACGAUACAUUCACAAAUUGAAUCAUUUUGGUAUAUUUGUUUAGGAAAUAAAGAAGAAGCAUAAUAGAAUGAUAAUUAUAUGCACAUGUAAAACUUGUUUAACUUGACCAUAGAUUAAUAUUAAAUUCUUUACAUAUAUGCAUUUGGUAUACAAAAAAAAAUUAUAGGCUAGAAUGACUCACCAAC
This 21280-nucleotide long non-coding RNA is filed under the name Medicago truncatula (barrel medic). RNAcentral describes it as "long non-coding RNA (MTRU_LNC000649)". Lineage: Eukaryota; Viridiplantae; Streptophyta; Magnoliopsida; Fabales; Fabaceae. The record is from RNAcentral.